Molecule: long non-coding RNA, 2239 nt
Organism: Tyto alba (common barn owl)
Lineage: Eukaryota; Metazoa; Chordata; Aves; Strigiformes; Tytonidae
Exons: 4
Source: RefSeq, a predicted model, not a curated record
UGCACGCGCGCACACACACACACACACACAGAGACACACACACACACACACACGCGCACAGACACACAGACACGCACACACGCACCCGCCCGCUGGGCUCCGCUCCCGAGCUGCCUCAGCAAGGAGGAGCCCGGACAGAAAACACCAGGGCAGCAAGGAUUUGGAAGUGGAGUUCCUGGAGAGUGAACCUGGCAAUGAGUGUGGGUUUCCCUGCAAGCUGAGGCUGUUUCUUAUUCCCUAGGAGACUGAGAAGAGAGGGGACCCUGGAUGCCAGCCCACUCUCCGGUUUUUAUUUGUCUUGACUCUGAGGCAGAUUUCCUCUUUCAGCUCUGGGAACUGACAGUGUCCACCCCCAGAUGUUUGCUUGCCUAAUCUUCGACAGGAACUACAGAAAGUCCUGCUCGUCCUGCUUAUCCCUGAUGGCUGGAAUUGUACAGUCAAAACCCUAUACAGAAUAAGUGUUCACAUAUAUUUUUAUCUAUUUAUGCUGACAGCUCCAUUCUGAGCUUUUUUAGCGUCCUGAUUUGAGGGAAGUGGGUGCAGAUCUCAUUCAAAUAAUCAUUCUCCAAUACCAUUAGCAUUACCUGCCAAAAAUGAAAGUGGCAUAUGAAUCACAGUAAGACACUCAUGAGUUUGUGGAUUUAGAGCCUGCCAAGGAACACCAGGAAUCCACAUGAUUUCAAAGCCCCAUGAGUUUUAGGGACUUUGAACAAUGUGAAAAAGUACAUUUAUCCAAAGACCAUCUUAUUGAUGACCCGUUCUAUAAGGACUACAGACAUAACCAAUUCGAGUGAAGGACAAUAUUAACUGAAAAUAUUUUCGUUUAAAACUUUCUGUUUCACGUGAGGUAGUGGAAGUGGUGAAUCUGCUAAUGGAAACUACAUCAGAGCCUCUUCCUGAGGUGCCCCAGUGAUGUGGAAAUACGCUUUUGUGUGAGAAGAGCUAUUGGAUCCUCUGGGAAAUACCACAGAUGCUUUCCAGUUCCCUUCAGACAUGGUCCGUAUUCCCAGGCCCUGAUGCUACACCCUACCUCAGUCCAUUCAGCUUCUCUCCAAGAUGGUAACUAUUUUCUGCUCCACAUCUCUGUUACAGGAGAUCUUCUGAUUACCUAAAAAAGUAAACUGCAUCCUGUAAAUUUCCUCUUAAAAAUUCUGCUUUAUGGAAGAAAAAAUCAACUUGUUGCAGGUGCACCAAAGACAUCAAACUCGCUUCUGUUUUGCCUGACUGCCCUCUCCAUCUUCUGUCAGUCUAAAAUUAUCAUGUUUCAAAGGAUUGAAAGAGUUGUAUUAAUAUUUGCGUGAACCACUCUUCCUGCACAUCGUCUGUUCUUUUUUCCUUCCCCUUGGUGUCUGGUUUGUCUUGGCUGCUUUUAAAAAUUCUGCUGCCUCUAGUGAGGGACAGCCAGAUUAAACCAGUGAAAAGAAACCAGGUGACUGUCUACUUUUACAAAUAUAGGUUGUGUGUAAUCAAGUUUUACAUCUAUGCAAAUUAAAUCAUCAUAUGAUUCUGACUACAUGCAUUUUUUAUCAAAUAUGGCAUAUAUUUCACAAAUUAUAUUUAACUUAUAGUCAUGUUGCUAUUCUGAAUACAUAACUAGGAGUUACAAGGUGUGCCACUAGACUGUAGUAAAUAGGUUUAUGAAAACAGAAGAAAUAAGAAAAAAUUAACUUUUUUUUCUUGUAUUCUUGGUAAGUCCAGGGGAAAGGCUUUUCCUGCUAUAGGGGAUAAUAAAAACACCUCACCGCUGAGCUGUUUAUAGACGCAAGUACAUCUUCUUAUUAGAAGUGUAGAGAUUUUGUAAAGGCCUAAACAGAACAUGGCCAGAAUAAGGAAGUUUUAAAACAAUGUGUCUUUGCUCUGGAGUUUACCACAUCUAGUUAUUAAGGCCUUCCACUAAUGUUUCUGUCAUGGGGUGAAACACAUUAGUCACAAUGUCAAAAUAAACAUUUUACUUCCACAAAACUGUGUUUUCACCUCAGGAAUAUUGUGAGGUGAAAACAGGAUUUAGCACCAUUCUUCCUUUGGGGUUUAUCGACAGACAGGGUGGUUUUAGUGUAAAGCCCUAAGCCUUGCAAUAUAAUUCCAACUAUAGGUGCACCAUACUUUGAAUAAUCCAUCUGUCAGCUGAGCUAUGACAGGGAUUAUGCUGUGAAGGUAACAACUCAAUGCUUUCAAUGUUAACUGUCCUCGGCAACCACUGUUGGGUUUUUUACUAAAUAAAAAGAUAUUUUGGUGAGCA